AUACGUAGGGGGCGAGCGUUGUCCGGAAUUACUGGGCGUAAAGGGCGUGUAGGCGGCCUGUUAAGUCAGGGGUGAAAGACCGGGGCUCAACCCCGGGGGUGCCUCUGAAACUGGCGGGCUUGAGUGCUCUAGAGGGCAGUGGAAUUCCCGGUGUAGCAGUGAAAUGCGUAGAGAUCGGGAGGAACACCAGUGGCGAAGGCGGCUGCCUGGGGAGUCACUGACGCUGAGGCGCGAAAGCUAGGGGAGCAAACAGGAUUAGAUACCCUGGUAGUCCUAGCCGUAAACGAUGAGUGCUAUGUGUGAGGGGUAUCGACCCCCCUCGUGCAGGAGCUAACGCACUAAGCACUCCGCCUGGGGAGUACGGCCGCAAGGUUGAA
RNAcentral lists this ribosomal RNA (377 nucleotides) under uncultured bacterium. RNAcentral describes it as "bacterial SSU rRNA". It matches the Rfam family "Bacterial small subunit ribosomal RNA", at positions 523 to 898 of the family's 1533-position model. The record is from RNAcentral.